UCUAGAACUCGAGAUAUGGGCUGAACACAGAACAAUGUCUGGGCUGCAAAACAUAUUCCGACUUCUCUGUUGUUACUACAAUUUGGACUUGAAAACGGUACUUUUGAAUCUUGGACUCUUCAUGAAAGUUUUAGGCCUAUGUCUUAACUUUCUAUC
Non-coding RNA from Populus trichocarpa (black cottonwood), 156 nucleotides. The record is from Rfam. NCBI's taxonomy places the organism in Eukaryota, Viridiplantae, Streptophyta, Magnoliopsida, Malpighiales, Salicaceae.